This is a long non-coding RNA of Passer domesticus (house sparrow), 3045 nucleotides long. RefSeq lists it as uncharacterized. NCBI's taxonomy places the organism in Eukaryota, Metazoa, Chordata, Aves, Passeriformes, Passeridae. The record is from RefSeq and is a predicted model, not a curated record. The transcript has 2 exons.
GGCUGGCCGCGUUUGCGCUGGGCGGCAUCGCCCCGGGCGCUGUCCCGCUGCGGAACGGGCUCGGGCCGUCGGGAGAGGCGCUGCGAGCCGCCCGUGUUCGGCCUAGGGAAGGGAAGGCUGAGAGGGGAUCUCGUUUAUACGCGGCCUGUGAGGAGAGGCGCGGGGGCGCCUCAGCGUGGCGAGAAAGAGGCUGAGGGGACCUUGCUGCUGUGUGCAGGAGGGUGGAGCCCGUGUGGGUCGGGCUCUUCUCCACGGAACCGGCGGCACAACGAUGGGGCAUGGCCCUGAGCUGCGCCAGGGCAGAUUUAGGUUGGACAUCAGGAGAAUUCUCUUCUCAGAAGGGAUGUCUGGACAUUGGACUGCCCAGCAAGGUGGUGGGGUCAUGGUUCCUCUCAGUUUUUGAAGAAAAACUGGAUGUGCCACUCAGUGCCAUGGUCUGGUUGAUGUGCUUGGUCAGUUUGAACUCAGUGAUCUCAAAGCUCUUUUCUAAACCAGUUGACGGUGUAAUUCUGUAAUGCAGAAUAAAUACCUCCAAUAGAAUAUAAGCAUCUCAAAGCCAGGUACCGAGAGGGCUGUGCCAGAAUCUUGGCAGUUGUGCCCCAUGACAGGAUGAGGAGCAAUGGGCACAGACUAAAGUACAAGGAAUUUCACUUGAGCGUGAGGAAGAGCUUUACAUCGGGGGUGGAACAGGGAGGGUGUGGGGUCACCCUCUCAAGAUUUUCCAAUUGCACCUGGACACGUUCCUGUGUCACUGGUCCUUGGCAGGGGGUUGGACUGGGUGAUGUCCAGGGCUCCUUCCAGCCCUGGCAAUUCCAUGAUUCUGUGAGGCAGCUGCCAGAGGAAGGGGCACCUCCUGCACCCGGGGCUGAAGGACCGAUGGGCACAGCCAUCCCUGCCCCAGCACCCACCCUGGGGCAGGCAAGAGCAUAACUGGGACAGAGGAAGUGACAGAAAUCCAUAUUAAAUAGAACAAAAAUAAGGUAUGGUGUGCAGAGAUCCUGCACGAGAGGCAGAGGUGAAGCCAGGACAUCCUCCGUGCUCCCAGGCUUUGUGAGGAGCUGGCACAGGAGGAGGCACUCCUUGGCAGACAUUUCACAGCAACGAGGACAGGACAGUUGAUGUCAAGUGCUCUGAUGAUAGCAUUUUGGACAGAACACUGCACUUGAGCUUUUCUGAAACACCACUGGGACUGUGAGUGUGUGCUGGGUAACUUGCUGAGGCAGGUACUCAAAUACUGAAAGGCCAAAAAACACACAGUCUCUCAGUCUGGAAAUCUUUCACUGUCAUACCUUGUGUAACUGGAUAACAACAACUAAAAAUCCUUCAGAUUUACAGUGAAAAGGAAGCAAAUCAGUGUUGACAACAGUGUACAAAAUCUGUUUUACCUCUCCCAAGGUGCAGCAUGUGGAAAUUGUGUCACAGUAAUCCUCACUGGCAACUGUAGUUUGCAUUUACUGCAUCGGAUUUGGAACCCAAAUUUCACGAGAGGGGUGAGUGAAAUGUUGAACACUGUAUGUUUUGAAAAUUGUUUUGCAAAUAUGAUUUUCAAACUCUUCCGUAACACUUGAAACAAGGAAGAAGGGCUUACUAUUGACUGGACAUGUAAUUUUUGUGAAGGUGUACAAUCUCUUAGAUCCUCAGGAAUUAUUUAUAUUACAUUCUCAAAUAACUACAGUUUUAGAAGUGGAAUUCUCCAGCUGUAGGGUCACUGUUGGAUAUGCCUUUGCUGUUCAUCUGAGAGCCUUUAGCACUGGUAUGUUGGAAACAACAGAGGUCUGCAGUUUGUGGGCCUAGAAAAAGGCCAGAUAACUAACUAGUAAGUAGAAAAUUUUAUUGAGAAAAAUAGUUUGACAGCUGGAGCAUUACCUGGGAUUCAGUUCUUUCAGGGGGGUGUCUUACGUGUUUUCAGUUACUGGCAUGGGAAGCAAUGCAAGGCAGUAAUUUGCAUUCUAAGAGAGUAUUUUUUUCUUCCCAAAACUAGAACACAUCCAUCUGGAUCAAAAUGGAAAAUGUCUUUAUUAGGGAAUUCCUAUUUUAAAUUGCACUGUUCCUUCACCCUAAAUCAGCAGUUAAUUAACAAAUCAAAGUUAUCAGUUUAAACCAAGUAAAAAGUCAGCAAAUUUGAGCAUCUGUGGAGUCAAGGUCUGGUGUAUUUCCCAGACUGUAUAAAUCAGUGUGGUAGACUAUCAGAGCACACUUAAUAAUGAUGUUUCUCAUUAACUACAUUGGAAAACCAAAAAAGGGCAAAGCUAAUUAACCCUAAAACUAGGGCAAAAGUUAGGAUAUGAGAAAAAAGCAGAAUGCCAGCUUCUCCCUCUCAAGUUCAAACUGAGGCCACUGCAAUUGAAGUAUGAUGUGCAAUAUUGCUUGUGAAUGUUCUUUUUAAACUGCCAGGAAAUUUUGGGAGAUGAAGUGUAACAGAUCCCUUGGUGCUGGGGCCAGUCCAUCCCAGUCCCUUCCACCUGUGCUCACCUGGUCUGACACAUCCCACUGCUGUCAGCACUCCCAGCUAGUUCAGAUUCCCACUUAACUGGGACACGGGAGCUCAAUUAAGAAUAAACCUCACUGUUAAGCAUUAUGCACAGCAACACAGUUUAUUUUUAUAACUUAUUCCAGUGUUAAAAGCAUACAGCUGCCAGUGACACACAGGUUGUCCUCUACAGCUCUUUGGUUCACAGCACCAGGCUCAUCUGACAUUCCGGAUUCUCUUCCCAAGUGCAGGCACAGUCCAUUACAGCUGCAAGCAUCCCUUUUAAUGAUUCAGUGCAUGAGCUUGACCAGUGAGACUGGAAAAUGAAAAAAAUAGCAGCAAAAACCACUGAAGUGUUUGUGUCCUGGACCAAGUUUUAAUGCUUAAUCAUGUCUUCAGCAGGUUCCACUUUGAACAGAUUUUGACAGACAGCGCGGAACAUCACGUAGCUGCAAGCAGGAUAAAAACUAAACCCUGUAGUGAGGGAUGCUGAACAGUCAGGGCCAAACCCUGGCCCUGUGAGUCUGAGGACACAGGGCAGGCACUGAAGUAAGAGGAGGCUCAUACACGUCAUG